AACUCUUUCCGAGGAAUUUGUUGAAAUCAUACUUCUUAAGGGCAUAGGUGAAGGUGAAUCAAGAAGGGAUGUAUCAUCUAUUUUUCUAGUUGGUUGCAUCGAAGAGGUUUUUUCGAGGCUACGCUAUGUCUGGGAUUUUAUAGAUUUUUCCACAUAGAUCUCCAAAGUGGUGAAGCACUCCUGAGAUAAGCUGCUGAAGCCGAUGUUAAUGGGGCAAUAUAUAUUCAUGGUAUUGCCUUGUUAAGGCUGGAAAGAGCCGAGGAUGCACUAAAAAAAUUCGCAGAAUAUGGCAUGAGCCAGGAGGAAGAGGUCAUAUGAUAAUGUUUCGUUCUGCAAUGAGAUUCGUGCUUGGCAAGGCUAAUUUUUUAAAGGUGUGCAGGACAACACUAUGCAAGAGUGGAGUAAUAGCGGGUCACUGGUCGCACCGGAACAUAAACGCUAUACUUGGUUUUAACGAACUUGACAUUACCUGUGAGAAUUGUUUGGUAGAUGUCGAAACAUUCAAGCUUGGACUGCCAGUGGGUUUCGAAGAGGAGAUAUUAUUAGCAAAUGUGUAACGUGCCAUCUUAAUAUAAUAAAAUUUGUAUUAUGUUUAUUGUAA
Lycium ferocissimum is the source of this 601-nucleotide long non-coding RNA. RefSeq lists it as uncharacterized. The record is from RefSeq and is a predicted model, not a curated record. The transcript is spliced from 2 exons. NCBI's taxonomy places the organism in Eukaryota, Viridiplantae, Streptophyta, Magnoliopsida, Solanales, Solanaceae.